This 403-nucleotide ribosomal RNA is filed under the name Fusobacteriota bacterium. Its description in RNAcentral is "Fusobacteria bacterium partial 16S ribosomal RNA". It matches the Rfam family "Bacterial small subunit ribosomal RNA", at positions 355 to 776 of the family's 1533-position model. The record is from RNAcentral. Lineage: Bacteria; Fusobacteriati; Fusobacteriota.
UGGGGAAUAUUGCACAAUGGAGGGAACUCUGAUGCAGCGACGCCGCGUGAACGAAGAAGGCUUUCGAGUCGUAAAGUUCUUUUAUAUGGGAAGAUAAUGACGGUACCAUAAGAAAAAGCCCCGGCUAACUACGUGCCAGCAGCCGCGGUAAUACGUAGGGGGCUAGCGUUGUCCGGAAUCACUGGGCGUAAAGGGUUCGCAGGCGGAAAUGCAAGUCAGGUGUAAAAGGCAGUAGCUUAACUACUGUAAGCAUUUGAAACUGCAUAUCUUGAGAAGAGGAGAGGUAAGGUGAAUUUUUAGUGUAGCGGUGAAAUGCGUAGAUAUUAAAAAGAAUACCGGUGGCGAAGGCGACUUACUGGGCUCAUACUGACGCUGAGGAACGAAAGCGUGGGUAGCAAACAGG